GUGAGUCUCGUCAGAGUUCUCACCCGUGCACGUUAAUGUUAUUACAUUCUAACUGUUUGAGUGUCUUUAUUCAGCCUGAAGAAUGUCUUAUUAAAAAUAAACUCUUGACAUUUAAUUGGUCCUCCGAGCCGGAUGUAGGACAUCGAAUUAUAACUAAUUUUAUGCUCCAACGGAGUGACCUCGUCGUUUCCUGUCAUCGUGGAGAGCCCGCGCUGAAGUCUGUCGACAGCCUCUUUCCUAUGAAGGAGAAAAAGACCAACUACGUGAAUUCGGGGUUGGCCAGCGUUCUUAGUAAGAGGUCCACGAUCCUGGGGAACGAGGAGGAAUCUCUGACCGGCACUUAUAUCAUCAUAACCAGGCUGCUUUGCCGGUCCUGAAAGCCAAAGCUGACCUGGACUCCUGCUCUCCCCUCUACCAUCUCUGACCCUGACCAAAUGCUGCAGCAGCUGGACCCAUAACAACAAUCUAAAAAUGUCAACAGUGCUACAGGAAAGCGAUCUCAUGCAGCAGAGACGGGGAGCGUUAAAUCCAAGGCUCGUUUCACUACACGGAGGAGAUUUCCAGACAGCUUCAGCUGACAGAGCUGUGACGAGACGCCCAUUAAGCCCGAAUGAAAAGUAAGGCCGAGCAAAAGAAUGCUGACCUUGAUAACUCUGCAUUAACACUGUACAGGACAGUGAUGGACCAACACGGAUGAUCAGGCAGCAGAAGAAAGGGCGUGCCAGAGACAGGAGAAGCAACUGAGGUCAAAAGGCACCUCAGAAUGGACAAAACACAGAAGAAGAUGCAGGUUUCACCUGCGGUGAGCAUGGACACUGGAGAAAGGACUGCCCCAAUUGGGGCCAGGACCAGGACAGACUGAACUUUGAGCAGCAGCAGCAAUGGUCGCAACCGGACUGAAAAGGAGGAGGGCAGGACCCCAGGGCACGCUUCAGGCCGUGGUUUACCCAAAACACCAGAACAGGAAAGUGAUAAAUACACCAACAUACACAUCUACACACACACCAGACAAUGUACACUCAUCAAACAUGACUGAUGCCCUGAACGCCUUGAGACAGAUCCAGCAGGCCCAAACUCAGGACUAUGUAAAUAAUACAAGUGACUGCUAAAAAGACUACUACUGCCUUUUCACUGUGCAAUACUUUUUGUUAAAAACCAACGGUGCAAUAGACUUCAAUACUUGAAAUACUUGAAAUACUUGCAAUUCCUUUGUGUUCUUAUUCUUAUUUAUUCUAUUUAUCCCUUUUUGUAUUUUCACUUUUAUUUUGUGUUUUGUAACAUGUAUCCUGCCAUGUCUAAAACUCAUGAUUAACCGUAUAGUUGUUUCCACUGUUGCUGCAUACAUAGCCGUGACAAAUGAUGAUGAUGAUGACUCUGACCUGUUGGAACAUGAAAACUUUGUGUGAUUAAUGAUGGUGUGAUAGAAACUGUACAACAAGAUGUUACAUACUGAUAUCUCACUUGAAAGUUAUACUGACAACAGGAGGGAAUGUCAAUGGAAAAUUGUACUUAGUAGUCAGUAUAAGCUUGCAUAUGAUAGAAUACUGUAUGUUGACCUUUUGAUGACUUAGACUGUUGUCCACUACAAGACUGUUUUAUAAAUUCUUUCUUACAGCGAUAAUAGCUGAACAAGCAGGAAGAGGAGAGCUGGACACUUUUAUCUGCGCUCUCUAACAAGAAGAAGGGCUGCGUCCUUCUGAAUCUCACAACACACACACAUACACCUGAACCACUCUUAUCUUCACUCCCUACGUACUAACAUUCCGGAACGGAACGUUCCAGUAAGAUAGCCACAUACUGUUGUAUAGUCAUUUUUCUCAGAAGAGCGAAAAUACGCCGCCCUGUUGUGUGGGCACCAGUGACUAUAAAUGCACGAAUAAAGAAGUACACUGUGUGACUCUCUUCUGAGAC
This is a long non-coding RNA of Oreochromis aureus, 1911 nucleotides long. The record is from Ensembl. Lineage: Eukaryota; Metazoa; Chordata; Actinopteri; Cichliformes; Cichlidae.